RNAcentral lists this ribosomal RNA (510 nucleotides) under uncultured bacterium. RNAcentral's name for it is "partial 16S ribosomal RNA". It matches the Rfam family "Bacterial small subunit ribosomal RNA", at positions 28 to 507 of the family's 1533-position model. The record is from RNAcentral.
GACGAACGCUGGCGGCGUGCUUAACACAUGCAAGUCGAACGAAGAGCGACGGAAGCUUGCUUCUAUCAAUCUUAGUGGCGAACGGGUGAGUAACGCGUAAUCAACCUGCCCUUCAGAGGGGGACAACAGUUGGAAACGACUGCUAAUACCGCAUACGAUCUAAUCUCGGCAUCGAGGAUGGAUGAAAGGUGGCCUCUACAUGUAAGCUAUCACUGAAGGAGGGGAUUGCGUCUGAUUAGCUAGUUGGAGGGGUAACGGCCCACCAAGGCGAUGAUCAGUAGCCGGUCUGAGAGGAUGAAAGGCCACAUUGGGACUGAGACACGGCCCAGACUCCUACGGGAGGCAGCAGUGGGGAAUCUUCCGCAAUGGACGAAAGUCUGACGGAGCAACGCCGCGUGAGUGAUGACGGCCUUCGGGUUGUAAAGCUCUGUUAAUCGGGACGAAAGGCCUUCUUGCGAAUAGUGAGAAGGAUUGACGGUACCGGAAUAGAAAGCCACGGCUAACUACGUG